RNAcentral lists this ribosomal RNA (465 nucleotides) under Vreelandella stevensii. Its description in RNAcentral is "partial 16S ribosomal RNA". It matches the Rfam family "Bacterial small subunit ribosomal RNA", at positions 338 to 795 of the family's 1533-position model. The record is from RNAcentral. Lineage: Bacteria; Pseudomonadati; Pseudomonadota; Gammaproteobacteria; Oceanospirillales; Halomonadaceae.
CCUACGGGAGGCUGCAGUGGGGAAUAUUGGACAAUGGGCGAAAGCCUGAUCCAGCCAUGCCGCGUGUGUGAAGAAGGCCUUCGGGUUGUAAAGCACUUUCAGUGGGGAAGAAAGCCUUGGGGCUAAUACCCUCGAGGAAGGACAUCACCCACAGAAGAAGCACCGGCUAACUCCGUGCCAGCAGCCGCGGUAAUACGGAGGGUGCGAGCGUUAAUCGGAAUUACUGGGCGUAAAGCGCGCGUAGGCGGUCUGAUAAGCCGGUUGUGAAAGCCCCGGGCUCAACCUGGGAACGGCAUCCGGAACUGUCAGGCUAGAGUGCAGGAGAGGAAGGUAGAAUUCCCGGUGUAGCGGUGAAAUGCGUAGAGAUCGGGAGGAAUACCAGUGGCGAAGGCGGCCUUCUGGACUGAUACUGACGCUGAGGUGCGAAAGCGUGGGUAGCAAACAGGAUUAGAUACCCCGGUAGUC